This 76-nucleotide transfer RNA is filed under the name Erwinia phage pEa_SNUABM_11. Its description in RNAcentral is "tRNA-Trp". It matches the Rfam family "tRNA". Rfam says of the family: Transfer RNA (tRNA) molecules are approximately 80 nucleotides in length. Their secondary structure includes four short double-helical elements and three loops (D, anti-codon, and T loops). Further hydrogen bonds mediate the characteristic L-shaped molecular structure. tRNAs have two regions of fundamental functional importance: the anti-codon, which is responsible for specific mRNA codon recognition, and the 3' end, to which the tRNAs corresponding amino acid is attached (by aminoacyl-tRNA synthetases). tRNAs cope with the degeneracy of the genetic code in two manners: having more than one tRNA (with a specific anti-codon) for a particular amino acid; and 'wobble' base-pairing, i.e. permitting non-standard base-pairing at the 3rd anti-codon position. Lineage: Duplodnaviria; Heunggongvirae; Uroviricota; Caudoviricetes; Chimalliviridae. The record is from RNAcentral.
AGGGGAUUAGCUCAGCUGGCAGAGCACCGGUCUCCAAAACCGGGUGUCAAGUGUUCGAAUCACUUAUCCCCUGCCA